This is a long non-coding RNA of Ananas comosus (pineapple), 674 nucleotides long. RefSeq lists it as uncharacterized. NCBI's taxonomy places the organism in Eukaryota, Viridiplantae, Streptophyta, Magnoliopsida, Poales, Bromeliaceae. The transcript has 3 exons. The record is from RefSeq and is a predicted model, not a curated record.
GGCGGGAAGCCUAGGCAAAACCCAAAGUCCCUCGUUCGAAAAUACUCUCGUGUACCUCAAUCCGCCGUCUCCUUUCGCCCUCGGAUCGCUCGAUUUCUUCAAUCGAAUACACUCCCCUUCGAACGCAGGAUUCCUUCAAUCCAAAAACCCUAGUGAAAUCCUCUCCUCGCCCCUCCCCUUCGAUGGCCCGAUUCCUCCUAUCGACCAACCCUAGAGCCAACCCCUCCGUUCCCUCCGAUCUCGCCCGAUUUCUCCAAUCGAGAAACCAUGGGGCGAACUUUAGUUAGAUCGCUCGAUCCUGUUUGUGGAAACGAAGCUUCUUGUUGGAGCCAAGGUUUCUGAACGGAAGAGUCGUCUUGUAUUUGGCAACAAUUCUGAUGAAGUUGAUGCGGACGUGGAAUCAAAUCUUGCGCGAGAAAGUCAUGGGCAACCCAUUCAGCGGCAGAGCGAAAGGUCCAAACUGUAUUCCACUCUGCAAUCCUGAUACAGACCACCUGACGGAGGAAAAUACAACAUCCACACAAGCAAUCAGAAAUAUUAGAUGAUCGUGAAAUGACGUUGUCUUUGGGCCAGGAUACCGACCUGUAUUUGGUCGUGAGGUGAUGGAGCAGGACCAGCAUCUCCAGCUUGGCCAGCUCGUUACCAGGGCACGAGUGGGACCCAUUUCCAAACGG